GACGAACGCUGGCGGCGUGCUUAACACAUGCGAGUCGAACGGAAAGGCCCUGCUUUUGUGGGGUGCUCGAGUGGCGAACGGGUGAGUAACACGUGAGUAACCUGCCCUUGACUUUGGGAUAACUUCAGGAAACUGGGGCUAAUACCGGAUUGGAGCUCCUGCUGCAUGGUGGGGGUUGGAAAGUUUCGGCGGUUGGGGAUGGACUCGCGGCUUAUCAGCUUGUUGGUGGGGUAGUGGCUUACCAAGGCUUUGACGGGUAGCCGGCCUGAGAGGGUGACCGGCCACAUUGGGACUGAGAUACGGCCCAGACUCCUACGGGAGGCAGCAGUGGGGAAUAUUGCACAAUGGGCGGAAGCCUGAUGCAGCAACGCCGCGUGCGGGAUGACGGCCUUCGGGUUGUAAACCGCUUUCGCCUGUGACGAAGCGUGAGUGACGGUAAUGGGUAAAGAAGCACCGGCUAACUACGUG
RNAcentral lists this ribosomal RNA (468 nucleotides) under uncultured bacterium. Its description in RNAcentral is "partial 16S ribosomal RNA". It matches the Rfam family "Bacterial small subunit ribosomal RNA", at positions 28 to 507 of the family's 1533-position model. The record is from RNAcentral.